Molecule: ribosomal RNA, 433 nt
Filed under: uncultured bacterium
Lineage: Bacteria
Description: partial 16S ribosomal RNA
Rfam family: Bacterial small subunit ribosomal RNA
Source: RNAcentral
AACGAACGCUGGCGGCAUGCCUAACACAUGCAAGUCGAACGAGGCCUUCGGGUCUAGUGGCGCACGGGUGCGUAACGCGUGGGAACCUGCCCUUAGGUUCGGAAUAACUCCCCGAAAGGGGUGCUAAUACCGGAUAAUGUCUUCGGAGCAAAGAUUUAUCGCCUUUGGAUGGGCCCGCGUUGGAUUAGCUAGUUGGUAGGGUAAUAGCCUACCAAGGCGACGAUCCAUAGCUGGUCUGAGAGGAUGAUCAGCCACACUGGGACUGAGACACGGCCCAGACUCCUACGGGAGGCAGCAGUGGGGAAUAUUGGACAAUGGGCGAAAGCCUGAUCCAGCAAUGCCGCGUGAGUGAUGAAGGCCUUAGGGUUGUAAAGCUCUUUUACCCGGGAUGAUAAUGACGGUACCGGGAGAAUAAGCCCCGGCUAACUCCGUG